Molecule: ribosomal RNA, 1248 nt
Filed under: Triticum aestivum (bread wheat)
Lineage: Eukaryota; Viridiplantae; Streptophyta; Magnoliopsida; Poales; Poaceae
Description: partial small subunit ribosomal RNA
Source: RNAcentral
AUGGAGCAGGAGCUGCGGGGCGGCGGGGCGGUCAGGGCGCAGAGCACGCUGUGCUUCUCCGGCGCGCUGGUGGACGGGCCCCGAAUCCAGCAGCUGCUCCUCCACUGCGCCGCCGCGCUCGAGUCCAACGACGUGACGCUGGCGCAGCAGGCCAUGUGGGUGCUCAACAACAUCGCCUCCGCGCAGGGUGACCCCAACCAGCGACUCACCUCGUCGCUGCUCCGCGGCCUCGUCGCGCGCGCCUGCCGGACCUGCGGCUCCCCGCGCGCCGACAGCAUGGGGCCGCCCCCGGCGCUGGGAUCGCAGCGGGCCAUGUCCGUGACGGAGCUCGCCGACUACGUCGACCUCACCCCGUGGCACAGGUUCGGCUUCACCGCUUCCAACGGCGCCAUCCUCCGCGCCGUCGCCGGGAGGGACGCCGUGCACGUUGUUGACCUUGGAGUCACGCGCUGCAUGCAGUGGCCCACGCUCAUCGACGCGCUCUCUAAGCGGCCCGGGGGGCCGCCGGCGCUCCGCAUCACCGUGCCGUCCGUCCGGCCCGCCGGCCCGCCACUGCUCGGCGUGCCGGACGAGGAGAUAGGUCUCAGGCUGGCCAACUUUGCCAAGUCCAAAGGCGUGCACCUGGAGUUCAACGUCGUCAACAAGAGCACGGCCACGUCAUCUCCAUCUCCGACGAAGCUGCAGACGCUUUGCCAGGAGCUCGCCUGCGUCCUCUCCGACCAGUCGGCGCUGCGGCUAAGAGACGGCGAGGCGCUCGUCGUGAACUGCCAGAGCUGGCUCCGGCACGUCGCGCCGGGCUCGAGGGACGGCUUCGUGGACGCGGUCCGGGCGCUGGACCCGUGCCUGGUCACCGUGACCGACGAGGACGCCGACCUGGACUCGCCGAGCCUGGCCACGCGCAUCGCGGGCUGCUUCAACUUCCACUGGAUCCUCUUCGACGCGCUCGACACAUCCGCGCCGAGGGACAGCCCGCGGCGGCUGGAGCACGAGGCGGCCGUGGGCCAGAAGAUCGAGAGCGUCGUCGGCGCCGACGGCACCGAGCGGUCCGAGUCCGGCGCGAGGCUCGCGGAGAGGAUGCGACGGAAAGGGUUCGCCGGCGCGGGGUUCGGCCAGGACGAGGUGGCCGAGGUGCGGCACCUGCUGAGCGAGCACGCGACGGGGUGGGGCGUGAAGCGGGAGGAGGACAUGCUAGUGUUCACGUGGAAGGGGCAUGCAGCCGUGUUCACCACUGCCUGGGCGCCCAACUAA